RNAcentral lists this ribosomal RNA (658 nucleotides) under Escherichia coli. RNAcentral describes it as "partial 23S ribosomal RNA". It matches the Rfam family "Bacterial large subunit ribosomal RNA", at positions 2269 to 2925 of the family's 2925-position model. The record is from RNAcentral. Lineage: Bacteria; Pseudomonadati; Pseudomonadota; Gammaproteobacteria; Enterobacterales; Enterobacteriaceae.
UUUGACUGGGGCGGUCUCCUCCUAAAGAGUAACGGAGGAGCACGAAGGUUGGCUAAUCCUGGUCGGACAUCAGGAGGUUAGUGCAAUGGCAUAAGCCAGCUUGACUGCGAGCGUGACGGCGCGAGCAGGUGCGAAAGCAGGUCAUAGUGAUCCGGUGGUUCUGAAUGGAAGGGCCAUCGCUCAACGGAUAAAAGGUACUCCGGGGAUAACAGGCUGAUACCGCCCAAGAGUUCAUAUCGACGGCGGUGUUUGGCACCUCGAUGUCGGCUCAUCACAUCCUGGGGCUGAAGUAGGUCCCAAGGGUAUGGCUGUUCGCCAUUUAAAGUGGUACGCGAGCUGGGUUUAGAACGUCGUGAGACAGUUCGGUCCCUAUCUGCCGUGGGCGCUGGAGAACUGAGGGGGGCUGCUCCUAGUACGAGAGGACCGGAGUGGACGCAUCACUGGUGUUCGGGUUGUCAUGCCAAUGGCACUGCCCGGUAGCUAAAUGCGGAAGAGAUAAGUGCUGAAAGCAUCUAAGCACGAAACUUGCCCCGAGAUGAGUUCUCCCUGAGACUUAGAGUCUCCUGAAGGAACGUUGAAGACGACGACGUUGAUAGGCCGGGUGUGUAAGCGCAGCGAUGCGUUGAGCUAACCGGUACUAAUGAACCGUGAGGCUUAA